RNAcentral lists this ribosomal RNA (141 nucleotides) under uncultured bacterium. Its description in RNAcentral is "partial 16S ribosomal RNA". It matches the Rfam family "Bacterial small subunit ribosomal RNA", at positions 338 to 472 of the family's 1533-position model. The record is from RNAcentral.
CCUACGGGAGGCAGCAGUGGGGAAUAUUGGACAAUGGGGGCAACCCUGAUCCAGCCAUGCCGCGUGUGUGAAGAAGGCUUUCGGGUUGUAAAGCACUUUCAGUGAGGAGGAAAACCUUUGGGCUAAUACCCCUGAGGCUGA